UUGUGGUGAGGGAAUAGACUGCUGUGAGUUCAAAUAAGGAAGAAGAAGAUUACAUGAAGGUUGGGUGGUUGAUGAAGGAGGGAGAUAGGUGGAUUUCUUGUUGAAGGUUGUCGUGAGGGAAGAGAAGAUAUGAUGAUAGUUAUAUGGAGUUGAAGGGUGAAGAGAAAGAAAAGAGGUUUAAGUUUUUAUUUUUAUUUUUUGGAGUGAGAGAUGUGAGAGAUGUGAUAUGUAAGUGAAAGAGAUGAUGAUGAAUAUUGGUGUAGCAGAAGAAAUUGAUGUGAAGGAGGAAGAAAAG
RNAcentral lists this long non-coding RNA (295 nucleotides) under Lathyrus oleraceus (garden pea). RNAcentral's name for it is "Pisum sativum (pea) long non-coding RNA (PSAT_LNC027740)". The record is from RNAcentral. Lineage: Eukaryota; Viridiplantae; Streptophyta; Magnoliopsida; Fabales; Fabaceae.